CUGCUGUGAUGAUACUGAACAGAUAACUGAAUAUCUGUGUAGAAAAAAAUACGAGCUUUUUAAAUCUGAGCAGC
Small nucleolar RNA from Actinia tenebrosa (Australian red waratah sea anemone), 74 nucleotides. Lineage: Eukaryota; Metazoa; Cnidaria; Anthozoa; Actiniaria; Actiniidae. The record is from RefSeq and is a predicted model, not a curated record.